RNAcentral lists this ribosomal RNA (587 nucleotides) under bacterium T-1-0-10B. Its description in RNAcentral is "bacterial SSU rRNA". It matches the Rfam family "Bacterial small subunit ribosomal RNA", at positions 386 to 964 of the family's 1533-position model. The record is from RNAcentral.
AUCCAGCCAUGCCGCGUGUGUGAAGAAGGCCUUUUGGUUGUAAAGCACUUUAAGCGAGGAGGAGGCUACUCUAGUUAAUACCUAGGGAUAGUGGACGUUACUCGCAGAAUAAGCACCGGCUAACUCUGUGCCAGCAGCCGCGGUAAUACAGAGGGUGCAAGCGUUAAUCGGAUUUACUGGGCGUAAAGCGCGCGUAGGUGGCCAAUUAAGUCAAAUGUGAAAUCCCCGAGCUUAACUAGGGAAUUGCAUUCGAUACUGGUUGGCUAGAGUAUGGGAGAGGAUGGUAGAAUUCCAGGUGUAGCGGUGAAAUGCGUAGAGAUCUGGAGGAAUACCGAUGGCGAAGGCAGCCAUCUGGCCUAAUACUGACACUGAGGUGCGAAAGCAUGGGGAGCAAACAGGAUUAGAUACCCUGGUAGUCCAUGCCGUAAACGAUGUCUACUAGCCGUUGGGGCCUUUGAGGCUUUAGUGGCGCAGCUAACGCGAUAAGUAGACCGCCUGGGGAGUACGGUCGCAAGACUAAAACUCAAAUGAAUUGACGGGGGCCCGCACAAGCGGUGGAGCAUGUGGUUUAAUUCGAUGCAACGCGA